RNAcentral lists this ribosomal RNA (497 nucleotides) under uncultured bacterium. RNAcentral's name for it is "partial 16S ribosomal RNA". It matches the Rfam family "Bacterial small subunit ribosomal RNA", at positions 28 to 507 of the family's 1533-position model. The record is from RNAcentral.
GACGAACGCUGGCGGCGUGCCUAAUACAUGCAAGUUGAGCGAUGAAGAUUGGUGCUUGCACCAAUUUGAAGAGUAGCGAACGGGUGAGUAACGCGUGGGGAAUCUGCCUUUGAGCGGGGGACAACAUUUGGAAACGAAUGCUAAUACCGCAUAACAACUUUAAACAUAAGUUUUAAGUUUGAAAGAUGCAAUUGCAUCACUCAAAGAUGAUCCCGCGUUGUAUUAGCUAGUUGGUGAGGUAAAGGCUCACCAAGGCGAUGAUACAUAGCCGACCUGAGAGGGUGAUCGGCCACAUUGGGACUGAGACACGGCCCAAACUCCUACGGGAGGCAGCAGUAGGGAAUCUUCGGCAAUGGACGAAAGUCUGACCGAGCAACGCCGCGUGAGUGAAGAAGGGUUUCGGAUCGUAAAACUCUGUUGGUAGAGAAGAACGUUGGUGAGAGUGGAAAGCUCAUCAAGUGACGGUAACUACCCAGAAAGGGACGGCUAACUACGUG